UAUUUGAUGGUCUCUUUUACAUGGAUAACCAUGGUAAUUCUAUGGCUAAUACAUGCGCACAGGCCUCCUUCUUUGGAGGGGCCGUGUUUAUUAGAUACAAAACCAACCCACUUUGUGGAGCCUUGGUGAUUCAUAGUAACCGAACGGAUCGCAUUUGGCUUUAGCCGGCGAUAGAUCAUUCAAGUUUCUGACCUAUCAGCUUUCGACGGUAGGGUAUUGGCCUACCGUGGCAUUGACGGGUAACGGGGAAUUAGGGUUCGAUUCCGGAGAGGGAGCCUGAGAAACGGCACCCACAUCUAAGG
RNAcentral lists this ribosomal RNA (302 nucleotides) under Cyclospora cayetanensis. Its description in RNAcentral is "SSU rRNA". It matches the Rfam family "Eukaryotic small subunit ribosomal RNA", at positions 118 to 421 of the family's 1831-position model. Lineage: Eukaryota; Apicomplexa; Conoidasida; Eucoccidiorida; Eimeriidae. The record is from RNAcentral.